RNAcentral lists this long non-coding RNA (11726 nucleotides) under Ananas comosus (pineapple). Its description in RNAcentral is "long non-coding RNA (ACOM_LNC017960)". Lineage: Eukaryota; Viridiplantae; Streptophyta; Magnoliopsida; Poales; Bromeliaceae. The record is from RNAcentral.
CUAUUUAUUCUGCCCUGGCCAAGGUCUUCUAAACUCGGUCUCAUAAAUCACAUAGGACUAACACCCCUAUCUACCAAGGGAGAUAGAUUCCAUCUGAGUGCGCACCCUAUUCCUACAAUGAACCUACUGCAGCCAACAUGCACCGCAAGGACCCGAAUGGCUAGGGACCAAGUGUAUGUACAGUCAAACUACAGUAACCUCAUUGUGAAUAGCCGAGGCACCGCAGGUCAAAGGACCAGUCACACUACUGCAACAAUUGAGUAAGUCACUGACGAGUGAGUAGACAUCCAAGUGACUUCUCGCGUUGGUCACGCUCGGUACCCUUGUUCUCUAACAACCACCUGCAUAUUCGCUUCAGUGUCCCCACACUGUCGACUCGAAACUCGUCUACCCUGAAAGGGAAGCGACUUAUGCACCAAUCUCAUCGGAUCAAUCACCGUCCCCGUGAUGAUCCAUUGAUCGGGAGCAUUUGGGAAUUAAUCACCAAUGACACAUGUCUCAAAUUCUCAACACUUGAGAAUAUAUGUCAUCAUCUUAUUAAUUCCUUGGACGAUUCAUGGACACAUACACAACAUGAAUGGAAAUAAAAACCCAAAGUUAUUCAUAAUAUUUUAAAAUCAAAUACAAAAUUAUGUCCUAGAAAGAAUACAUGUGUCGGCCUGGUUGGCUUCUAGGGCAUACAUCUAACAGAUGUAUCCGUUGUGGGCAGCCAGGCCAUAUGCGGGAUGAGUGUCCGCAAGGUGAUAGCCGGGCCUUAGUGUUGGCGACGACUUUUUCCUCUCCGGGACAGCCGGCGGGUGUGCCACCUGCGGCACGAUCAGGAGAGCGGGUGAUGACAGUGAUGCAAUCGAGGGCUCCGCGGCGGGCGCCAAGUGGCUAUGGACACGCGACCCAGCUUGUGGGACCUGCUGCUGACGACGUCGUGGCAGGUAUGAGUUAUUCAUGCAGUUAUGUGUUUCGGCAUGAUGUAAAGUUGGAGCGUCACAUGCAUUGAGUAUAUAGUUAAUUACUACUCUUUAUGUAGUAGUAUAGUAAGGACCAAGAAUGUGAUAUGCCGAAGAAUUCGGAAAGUAAAUGUCGAACUUUAGUCAAAUUGACCGAAGUGCGAGGUUGCUAUGCUUCGGAACGACCGAAGGCGUUAGAAUGAGUAAAAGUGCAUUGUGGGAGGUUUUCGAGAGCUUAAGAAUCAAAAUCUGCAAACUGCAGUUUUUGGGCUCUCGGGGACCGGUCCCUGCUGGAGAGACCAGUCCCCGAGCGCAUGAGAAACCCAGCAGAGGAGAAAAAAAAAUUGGCUAAGUCCCAGAAAACAGGCUCUCAGGAACCGGUCCCUAUGGGAGAGACUGGUCCCCGAGAGACCGGUCCCUCUGGGUGAGACCGGUUGCAUUGCGGGGGGCAAGAUUGCCCAAAACCCAGGCUUAUUGUAGCACGCUAUAGUAGCGUACAACGCUCGAGUACAGGUACUCGUGGAGUGCGAAGAUGGAUCCGCCGAGUGAGUUUGUUGGCAGUAGCACUUGGGCGUUGCCAAGUGUGAAGCGCGCCAUGGAUCACUCGUGGGGCUGUGCAUAGGAGCCGGUAGUGACACGCAUUGCUCGAUAGAGCAUGUAAUGCGAUUGAGAGAAUACCGAGAGUACGAUGUGACCCAACCCGAGAAUUUGUAAUGGUUUGGGAUUUUAGUUGCUCCUGGUUGGAGUGUGUGCGAAUUCCCAAGUGAGAAUUUCGCCCCAGUGAUGAUUGGGUCUACGCUUGCAAGCGAGAGGCGCUGCGCGUAUAUUGAGGCAGGUUUAGGCUGUGGACCUACGUAGUAUUGGUGGCCUUUGGACCACCAAUGAAGACCGAGGAAAGCGAUUUGACAGAUAGCCUUAUCGAGGAGUUUGACUUGAAUUCACGAACGAAGUGUUCGUGUGAGUUGUUGCAAAGGUGAUGUGAUGUUGACCGUGGCAUAUGGUAUCAGGUGAUGAAGUGCUCUUGGAGAGACCUUGAGCUUAUGGCAAGCCACGUGGAAUUCGAGGAUUGGAAUUGGGAUGCGCCGAGGUGGGCCAUCUCACGUCAAAGUUAAAGUUUAGUGCGGAAUUAGAGCACUUACGAUGAAGCGAUGCACCGGUGAUAUUGCUUUUAGGCAAUGUCGGUGAUUGAUUUGAAAUGCAUUCCCUGAAGGGGAAGUAAAUGCAAAGAAGAGUUCUUGCUUGUCAAGUGGCAAGUGGAGUUGGAGCGCGUAGAGUCGUCAAGUUUCGACUUGCGCUUCCACAUAGAGUGACGGAGACCGUAAUGCACUUUGUGAGAUGUGCCUUGCAAAGUUGGAUGCGUUUGGUAUCAUGAGCUCCGUAGUAGUCCUCUUGGAUAGUUCCAAAGAGUGUAAAGCCCUUCCGAAGUGGAAAAGUGCAUUGGUGCCCUCAAUUGCUCGAGGAGCUGAAUUGAGGUGUGGUUUGAGUUUCGCGGACGAAACUCUUUUUAAGGGGUGGAGAAUGUAAUUUACCGAACUUCUAAUUCAUGAAGUUAUGAUGUAUGUUAGCUUAGAAAGCCAUUGGAAUCAUUCCGGCGGAGUUUGGGAGCAUUCGGGUGCUUCGGUGCGGAUAGGGCGCGAAAACGGAACCCGAAAGGCUAUGUUGGACCAUGGACUAAAUCCGGCAUUAGUGUGGAUGAAAAGAUGAUGAAAACAUGUUUGAAAACAUGUUUGGAGAGUCCCGGUUCGAUUUGAAAAGAAUCGGAGGUCAAACGAGCGAAAACGAGCGAAAACGGAGUGAAAAAGGAUAAAGGCUGAAAAUGCUGAAAAAUUGGCUAAGUCUGGAAUUCUGGCCUUUCGGGGACUGGUCUCUCACCGCAAGGACCGGUCCCAGAGCCCCGAAAAUGCCCAGUUUGGGCUGAAGCAAGAAGAGGAUUGUUGAGGGACUUGUUGGCAUUUUGUGCAUGAGUUGAGUGUAUAGAGAGGAUUAGAACCUCUCUUUCUCUCUUUCCCUUAUCAUUUCACCCCCAAAACUCUCCCUCUCUCUCUCUAGAAAGGAAAGGAGAAGAGAAGAAGAAGAAGAGAAAGAAGAAGAAGAAAAGGAAAAGAAGGUGAAGCAAGUGGAGAGCUUCCCUCCAUCAUCUUCUUCUUCACCUUGGAGCAAACCUAGAGAGGUAAGCUUCUUGAAGCUCUAAUGGUAGAUCUUCAUGGCUAUGAUUAUAUACUCUAAAGAUGAUUUUAAUGGAAUCUUAGCAUGCUAAAUAGAUGGUUUAUGCUUGAUUCAUGAGAUGAAAUGGGGCAUUUUACAAUAGUUGCAUAUUAGGGCUCCAAAAAGGGGUUUUUGUAAAUAGUUGAGUUUGAUCUCAAUUGACCCUAUACAAACCUAAUUGGGGGUAUAACGAACGCGUUGGUGCGCUCGGUUCGACAAUCCGACGAGUGUACGCGAAGUUAUUGACGAAACAGUCUGUUUUGGUACAGAUAGCCGCAGCACGCGGGAUAAGCCUCCAAAAAUCAUGAAAAUGGAUCGGGAGCAUCGCGAUGUCGGGGAAUAAACUCCCGAACAGACGGAUCGCGGAUUGGUGGCCGUUCGGGUGGUCGCGCAAGAGUUCGAGCCGAACCGGGUCACGGAUGCCGCGGGAGGCCGAUUGUAAGUGACGACAAGCAAUCGGAACGCGUUAAAAGGUGGGUUGUGUUUACCGAAGCGACUAGGUCGCCUUCAUGCCAAAGUGUAGUGUGUUCCACUAUUGAUGCAUUAUAAGAAUGUUAAGUAAGAAUGCACCAUAAUGAUGCUAAUAAAUGUAUAUAAUGCCAUGAUAAAGAUGCUAAGAAAUGUAUGCAUGUGAAGUAUGCUAAUGAAUGCAAGAGCUAAAUGCUAAGUGAAUAUGUAAGACCUAUGUUAGAUAAAUGCAUGAGUUAAAUGCUAAGUAACAUGAGCUAGAUGCAUGUUUUAGAAAUGGAUGCAUGAUGGAAAUGCUAAAAGAAUGUGUAUUGACAUAAUGUAAGAAUGCUAAAUAAGAAUACAUGAUAAGAAUUGCUAAAUAAGAAUGCAUGAUAAGAAUUGCUAAAUAAGAAUGCAUGAUAAGAAUUGCUAAGUAAGAAUGCAUGUUGACAUGUUAUAGAAAUGCUAGAUGAAGCAUGAGUUAAAUGUUAAAGGCAUGUAUGAGAUGUAUGUUAAAUAAACAUAUGAGCUAGAUGAUGUAUAAAUGCAUGAUUUCAUAAUGAAGAAUAUGUUAGAAUGAUAUGAAGGUUGAACUUGAGUCAAUGAACUCUAAGUAAAGUAAAGAACUCGACAAGUGUCAUAUGUAAAGAAUCCUAAGUAUAAAUAACUAGGAUGACGAGUGGCAUUGAACCUAGUGUCAUUGAACAUAGGUUAUUCACGAGUGGCAUGUCAAGUAUGAUUCCUAGGUGUGGACAACUAGGAAAAUAAGAAUAUGAAUGGCAUUGAACCUAGAGUCAAGUAAACCUAGGUUGUGAACGUAAUGAUAUGGAACCUAGAGUCGAAUGAACCUAGGUGAUUAAGAAUGUUGAACCUAGUGUUAAUGAACCUAGGCUGAGAAGAUAAUGACAUUGAACCUAAUGUAUUAACUUAGGUUGAGUAAAGGCUUGGACCUAGAUAGGUCGAUAACAUAGGGUGAGACCAACCCUUGAGUUAUGUAAAGAGGAUUCCGGAAUCCCUGCUGCUAGUGCAGCGGCUGCUAGUGCAGCAUACAAGCUCGAUAGUUCUUGGCCGCGGGUGCAUGUGGCAUGUUCCUCUCCCACCGGAAGAACUUCGAGGCUUGUUAAUGAGCAAGAACAAUGAGCGCUAGGGUGCAUGUGGCAUGUUCCUCUCCCUAUCGGGGAUCUCGGCUGCGGGUGUAUGCGGCAUGUUCCUCUCCCACCGGGGGAUCCCUGACCACGGGUGUACGCAGCUCUGGGCGACCCGUUGGGCGAUGUGGUUUGUGAUUGAGGGCUGAGGUGCAUGUGUGAGUUCCUUCACCUCGAGCCGGACAGAGCGCGGACUAUCCGCAGUUGAUUGACUGAAGACCGAGUCGGAUGGCAUAGUUGGCUAAGGGAAAGUAACCUUAGGAAAGAAAGGCUAAUGUGUAUAAUAUUGCUAAGGCGUGAGUACCCUUAGUAAAGCAUAAAGAAUAAAGAAUAAAGUGUAAAGCAUAAAGAGUAAAAGAAUCAAGAAUAAGAAAAGGCUAAUGCUAAAGAAUGACAAGCAAUAAAGAAUGGAUAAGAAUAAAGUGUAGAAGCAAUUAAUCUACUAUAUGAGUUGCAUAAUUUGCAUAUUGCAUGUUGUGAGGCAAAAGCAUGGUAAUGUUAGUUGCAUGAUUUAUGAUUUCAUAUCUAUCUAUUGGACUAACAUGUUGUUUGCCUCCUUUGACCUGAUGGUCGAGCUCUUCCCUUGGGUGGCCGUACCCACUGGGAACUAUGGAGUUAGUUCUCACCCCACGUUGUUUCGGGGUUUUACAGGUUCACACGUGAGCGGCGCGGCGGCGCGAGGCAAGGGCGUAGCUCCAUAGAUAGCGCCCUACCACCGAGACCAGAGAUAGUGGUACCCCAAGUCGGCAUAGCCUAGGGGUAGAGAAAAAUGAAAGAACAAGAUGUAUCAAACUUGUAGUAAAUUUAUGAUAAUUGGAUUGUAUUUGGAAGUUGAAUGUAAACGAAUGUAAUUUGUAAUGUAAAAUGUAAUAUGUGAGAUGAAUGCUUGUAAUAGCAAGUAGAUUUAUGUUUUGAUACUUCCUUAUGCAAUCUUUGGUUGAAAUGUGUUCCUAGUUGGAACUUCGUACAUUGUAUUGAUUGCGACGCCUUGAACGUACAGGGGAGACUCUGUCCGCGGUACAGGGGAAACCCUGUCCGUUCGGCGGUCUGUUGGCGUGCCCGAAUCCGACCAAAGAGGCGGGCUCGGAGCGUGACACGAGCCGAGGGGCGGAGGCGCAAGGCGCGGGCGGGCGCUGGCGUGGUGUCACGGGUCAAUCGCUGGGACUCGACCAUGACAUCUUUGGGGGCCACAUUUGGUAGGCACUUGGGUUGACGAAGUUAUGGAGUUGCGGAGUUGAGGCGUUCCGUCGGGUGGGAGUCGCUGUCAAGUCAACGGAGGCAAUUCCCUAGCAAUGGCCCGUGCCAUGACAUGGAAAUAGAUGCUGCAUGCGGGGGCUAAAAACGUAUCCCUCGAUGAGCACCUUUGUACCCCCGGGGUGCCAAAGGGGUGGAUGCCUCAUUGGGUAUAUAGAGAAGGGGUGGCCACUUCGUAAGUGGCCCCGAGUCCCCUGUCGACCCACAGGACAUAGGUCGUCCCUUGGCUAGCGGAGUGGCCAAGCCUAGCGUUCCGUGUGACCAGGUAUUGGAUGGUUGAAGGGACACGGGCCUAGGGUAAUGUCGGAGACGCGAGAAGUCGACGACAUUACGGAGCGGGGAAUACCGGGAGGCUUUCCUCCUAGGAUCGCUUGCGCUACCUUAUGCCGGUUUGGAUCUUUGUAAUGAAGCGUACGAGCGGAUGAGGGAUAGUCUAGCGACGGAUGGUCCUCUGUAAAGGACAAGGCUCGUGAAGGCAAGUGUGCCGAGCGGGGAUUCGUGGGAUGAGACGCCCGCGAAGGCCUAAAGAGGCGGAACUCAAUAGGAGCGCUAAAGGGAGGCACGCCGAGGGAGAAUUCGUAGGACGGGAGGUCUACGAGAUUCGAGGGGCGGAACCUAAUGAGGGAAGCGGUAUCGGUAUCCGUAUAGUGAACCUUGAGAGACUGGACCAACGGUGUGAGCGGCCAGGCGUGGCCGAGCCGAGUACGGGGCCAGUGGCUAGCGAUGAGGAGUGAGGCCGGUCCGCGUGUAUGGGGCCUUAUGAGGCAAACCUAUGGGAGUCAAGGGCGCGGAGCGCCAUGGCAAAGCAAGGGUCGUGGGGACGGUCGAGAAGCACGGUGUGGACUUGUUGGUUCCCUUGCCAGGAGCGUUGGGACACGAGAGCCGUAGGGGUUGGAUGCGAAGCACGGAAGUGCGAAGCAUGAGCGUGCGGGGUGUCACGCCUAGUCGCUGGCAUUGGGAGAUAAGCGAGCUCGUGGCGCACACUUGGGUGACUUUUCGAAUGUAUGCCGUUGGACCGAGCGAGCAGGCCGCGUAGGCGGUAUGGCCAUGGACGUUGUCAAGCGCAUGUGGCACGAUGGUGAGGAACAUAUGGUUAGGAGUGCCCUUCGUGGCAUACGAUGUUGUGAAGACCGGACCUUGAUGCUAGAGGCGUGCGGAUUAAGCUGUAGGAGUGAAACGCGUGGGAGGCGAGACGCUUAGCUAUACUCAUAUGGGACAUGUUGGGGGGGAACUUGUAAUAUCCUUGGGGAUAGUGAUGAAGGCAGCAAGGCAUUCGGUUAUGAAGCACUCUCGAGGAGAGAUCAGUUGGCAAGACGGGAUGCACCUAGCUUGGUGGCCAACCUCGGUAUUGGGGUUGCUCGUUGGGAACUCGAGGAGUCCGACGAGGGGUUCGAUUACAGAUGAAGGGUCGGGCUAUAAGUCUCGCAGAGAAGCAAGCUUGGCAAAAUGCUUGGAUUGGUAUUCCGCCGUUAAGUUUGGGAGACUUGUCCGUAUAGAGGACUCGAGAAGGCUGGCUCGGGUGUGCGACACUUGAGCGCUGCACGGGAAUUUUUAAGGCAAAAAAGCUAACCCCGUGACAGUAGGGCGAGCUGGCGCGGUCGCUGGCACGGGCGCGAGCGUGGGCGAGCGUGAGUGGGCAGGCGCGAGCCGAGGGGUAGAGGCGCGGGCCGCGAGCAGGCGCCGGCGCGAGAGGGCGUCGGCCCAGUGUGGGUGGGGCGCGAGCGCGCGCGCAUGGUGGGCCCCAUGUGGGCGGGGCCCAGCCAUGGGAGGGGAAGGAUAUGAACACUCCUCUCUCUCUCUCUCUCUCUCAUUCAAAAUUUAAAUUUUGUAUUAUUAAAUUCUCCAAUUGAGCAUUAAAUUUAAAAAUAAUUUUUUUAAUUUUCAAUCUACUUUAGUCUUUUUUUAUUAUAAAAAAUAUAUAAAUAAUUGUUAAAUAGUUUUAGGCUGUUGGUGUUAAAUAUAAAUAUUAAAAUAUUGUAUAUAAUUUUAUAUUUUACGAAAGUUAGUUGCGAGAAUUAUAUGAAAUAUACUAACUAAAAUAUUAGUACGCACAAGAUGUAAGGAAAGAUUUCUCUUUUCAUUUCACUAACUAAUGGGGGACUAUCAUGACUAAUGAAAAUUUUGAAUGAACUCAUUGUACUAUUUAUUCCUUAGACACGCGUUUAGAAUAAUUAGCAUGGAGUAAUUUCAUUUGUACCCCUCAAAAGAUUAAAAAUAACAUAAAUAACAUUACAAAAUUAGUAAUAUAAAAGCAAACAAAAGAGAAUAAGAUAAGAAAAUAUUUAAUAAAGUUAAAGAAUUAUUUCAAAAUAGCUUAUUGUUGAUAGAGCUUCUUAUAAUUUCUAUGUUAGGAAAGAUAGUUGUAUUUAUUUAAAAUUGUUCUGUAAUUUGCCCGUAAUAUUUUAUAAUUAUCCUAAAAAUAAUUUUUAUAAUUAAUUUUAAAUAUUGAAUUUUAAGAUAACUAUUCGCAGCAAUGCACGGUCCCUUAACUAGUAAAUAAAUAUUUAUGAUUAUGUGAUUCAGUAAUACUACAGGGUCGCUCUUUGAAUCCGAUUUUUUGUUUUUAAACAUUGGAAAUAAUAGUAAUAAUAAUAAUAAUAAUAAUAAUAAUAAUAAUGUGAUGACAUGCAUUUACCUCGCUCGGCCGGCCGGCCCGACAGGGCACUGGCACCGGGCGGUUGCUCCCUCCAGGCACGUGAAGGCGGUGGCGACCGUUAAAGGCUCCUCCUAACAGCCCCCUCUAAGAUCGCGACACGUGUCCGGCUGGCCUCUGCACGCGCUACGUACGGCCGCGCUCCCCCAGCGCUGACGUGCCUGCCUCUCACGAGGGAGGGGCCGCGCGCGGAGUCACGUACUUUGAGAGCAGCAGCAGCAGCAGGGACGGGAGACGGGGGGUGGGGGGAAACUAAUCAAAUUUCGCGUACAUUUUAUUUUAUAUACAACACUCCGUGCACCAGAUAUUUCUUUUACAUUCCUUCUUAUUAUUAAUUAAUUAAUAGAUAAUAAUUCAAAAUUAAAAUAUAAAUAUUCGGCAUCUUCUUAAAAAAAAAUGAAUGACGAAUUAAUGGUCUAUCCUGAAAUUUAUUAAAAUAAUAAUAACUACAUAUUAAAAUAAUAUUUUUAAAAAAUCUUUUUUUUUUUUUGCACUGCAUAUUUAUUAUUUUCUUUUAAUCCCAGAAAAUGAAAGCAAGAGCUUGAGAUCAUGGACAGUAACAUAAAAAUUUAUUAUCUGACCAUUUUAUUAUUAAACUAGUCAAGUGUUUUUUUUUUUUAUGUUAAUUUUCAAAAACUUGGCUAGCUAGCGACUUCUAGAGGUACGGGCGGCGCAUAAGAUGUAGUUAUAGAGCCGGCGCACGCAAGGAUUUCGCGAGGGGAGGGCGUGUCAGCGCCUCCGGCCUGCCGCUCUCCACGUGGGGCCCAGUGCAUGGCUGACCAGCAGGUGGGCCCCACAACAUGCCCUGCAGAUCUCAGCCUGGGGGAGGGUGAGAGGUCAUACCCCAUACUACCCCUCAAGAAUUUAAUCAUUAUUAUAUCUGUAUCUUUGUUUUUGUUCUUUUCUUUUUCUUUUCUGAAUAUCGAAUAUUUCCAACAUUUUAAUGUCGGUUUCCCAAUCUACCCCUUGGUCUCCAAGCUCGCCAGCGGCUCGCCCCCGGCUCCGUCAAAGGUUAUGUGUAAAAUUGUAGGGAGAUACCUCAACUACAGGUGUUUUUUUUUUCUUUAAAUAAAAAAAUUAAACUGAUCAAUUAUUGAACAAUUAUUUUAUCAAUUAAAUUUAAAAUUUUAUCCAAUUUAUUAUAUAAUCUAAAUGUUUUCUCAUUAAUGAGAUUGCGCGUUUUGUUUUCCUUUAGUGAUUUGAUAGAUAACAGAGUCAAUAAUUUAUUUCCACAAAUCUUUGUUAUUUCUUAAAAAUAAUUAAGAAAAAGGAUAAAUGCACAAAUAGUUUAAUUAGCUUUUAAUACGGCCAAUUUCGUGUUACGUACAAUUCAUCGAGAAGCUUGACCUUGCUAAGUUUGGUUGAACAUUUCGUUGAGCUCGGCAAAUUCUCUAAUAAGUAAUUCCGAAAAUACUUAAAUGGCUAUAAGUUUUCGUGCGAAUGCUCGUUUUUAGAGUUCAACUUAAAUUCGGAAACACUUUUCAAAACCUAUGAGCUAAACUGCAUUAUUGUUAUGUUCUAGUUUGGAACCCCAAAUUUAACUGUUUAGGGUUUCAAAUUUGAACUUUUAGGCUUUUUUUUGUAUGUCUUUUUUUUUCCCCCUAUAUUGAGUUACAAUGCUGAGUCAGCUGUGAUUAUUUUUGGUUAGAUUGGAUUUAGAAAUUUUUUAAAUUCUGUUUUUUCUCCUAGCAGGGUGUUAGAAAAUUGUGUACGGUAAAAACGCAACGGAAAGAAAUCAAACAAAUUUGAUUUUGAAAACUUUUGAGAUCCAAUCUCAAUAACGAGGUAAUUAGGAUCCCUCAUAUUCUUUAAGAUUAAAGGAGAAAAGUAAAAUCGAAUCUUUACCUUUUUCGCGGAUUGAUCUCACCUCAACUUGAUGAUCGUGGAAUCGGGUUCUCUUGAAGCCGCACACGCGUCCGGCCUCUAUAGGUAUCUACACAAGGUUCUUGAUUUGAUCGAUGUCCUCACCAAGGUGCUAGCUCCUUUGCAAAGGACGUCUUUUUGCUAGAAUAUGGAAGAGAGAGAAGAAGAGAGAUGACGGCUAGGGUUUUCUAAAAACUCCCGUAUUAUUUUAUAGAGGAAUAUAAUUCUCUUUUUAAUAAUAUAAUAACCAUUAAGGAUAAGUACAAAUCUAGAUUUAGAUUUAUCCUUUCCUUAAUUGGUUAGAUCGAUCAAAUCCUAAUUUGAUUCGACUUGAACUUUAUAUUAAUUUGAUCAUAUCAAAUUAAUAAUACAACAUUCGCACAUAAGUCCUCUUAUAAUUUACUAACUAUUAGUAAGUCCUCUCUUGUAACAUUUACACCUUAAUACCACUAAUUUGUAACAAUUACAAAUUAGUCCAAUUAUCAAUAUAUUGACAAUUAGGUCCUCCGGCGAUUCAAUAAUCGCGAUCUAGCUAUCCGAUCAAUCACAACCUCUUAUGUGUGUGACCCCAUAGGUUCUAUUUUAUCUGGUAGCGAGAUAUAUUUUGAUCACUAUCAACAAUAUCACUGAAACUCCUUUCAGUGGAUCGGAACAAUUCCAACUCAGCCCAAUAAGAAUUAUCGAUCAUCUAGAUAAUUCUCAUGAGUCUUACAAUCCACCAGUGACUCCUAGCAGCAUGUAGUGGCAUUCCAGUAGAAUGGAAUACUGAACCUUUUGGUGUAGUUACCGUGUGAUAUAAUCCUUCUAUCAUGAGUCCCGACUAGACGGAGAUUAUGGAAUAACUCGUCAAACCCCAUCGUCUGUCAUAAGUUAAAUUUAUUUGACUCGAGUUUCUAAUAUCGGAAACCCUUUUCCGCUAUUAACUCUGCCCUGGCCAAGGUCUUCUAAACUCGGUCUCAUAAAUCACAUAGGACUAACACCCAUAUCUACUAAGGGAGGUAGAUUUCAUCUAAGUGCGUACCCUAUUCCUACAAUGAACCUACUGCAACCAACAUGCACCGCAAGGACUCGAAUGGCUAGGGACCAAGUGUAUGUACAGUCAAACUACAUUAACCUCAUUGUGAAUAGCCGAGACACCGCAGGUCAAAGGACCAGUCAUACUACUGCAACAUUGAGUAAGUCACUGACGAGUGAGUAGACAUCCAAGUGACU